Molecule: transfer RNA, 59 nt
Filed under: Sciurus vulgaris fuscoater
Lineage: Eukaryota; Metazoa; Chordata; Mammalia; Rodentia; Sciuridae
Description: tRNA-Ser
Source: RNAcentral
AGAAAGUAUGCAAGAACUGCUAACUCAUGCCUCCACGCUUAAACCCGUGGCUUUCUUAA